AUGGCUGCGAGCUCGGCGAGCUGCUCGGGGGACAUGGCCUUCUUGGCCUCCAGGACAUCCGCCAGCGCUUGGGCGGCAGCGGCGUCCCGCCGCGCAGCGCUGCCGGCAGCGGAAAAGAGGCCGGAGCCGUCGACCGAGCUGCUGUACCGGUGCUUGGGGCGCGGCGGGGAGGAGGUCUCGGCGGCGCGGUCGCGGUCGCGGUCGGGGCCGGAGGAGAUCUUCUCGAUGUCCAUGAAUGUGGAGAAGAGGUCGUCCUCGGAGCCGAUCUCGUCGAAGCCCGCGGAGCCGUCGCCGUCGGCGCCGCCGCCGAUGUCGAGGUCGUCCGGGAGGUGGAAGGCGACCUCAGAUCUGGCGCGGCGGUGGUGCGCCCCGCGCAUGGCCGUGGCCGCCGCCGCCAUCGACGGGGAAGGCGGCGGGAAGGGCCGGCCCGGCGGAUCGGCGGGUUUGGGCUGCUGCAUUGGGCGCUGGAGUGGCCGGGCAGGGCCAGGGAUUGGGGAAGGAGCUGUAGAUAGGGCGCGCAGGCGGCGGCGGCUGCUGCUGCUGCUGCGCCUGUGUGUUUUCCUGUAG
RNAcentral lists this ribosomal RNA (567 nucleotides) under Triticum aestivum (bread wheat). Its description in RNAcentral is "partial small subunit ribosomal RNA". Lineage: Eukaryota; Viridiplantae; Streptophyta; Magnoliopsida; Poales; Poaceae. The record is from RNAcentral.